UCAUCCAGACAAUAAAAACCCACUGAUAAAUAUAGUGAUCUUUCAUCUGGGAUGCUUGGAAAACUUAGUUACAAUCAUGCUAUUUUGUUUUUAAAAAGGAAUCAAUUUUGGGUUUGAAAAAUCGUUCGUCUAUUGAGUUGAAAGACCAUUCAAGGCGAGUCACCAGCUGGUAGUGAGACGAAACUAGCCAAGAUGUCCAUGGC
This 203-nucleotide unclassified non-coding RNA is filed under the name Actinia tenebrosa (Australian red waratah sea anemone). Its description in RNAcentral is "rhodopsin-like, transcript variant X1". Lineage: Eukaryota; Metazoa; Cnidaria; Anthozoa; Actiniaria; Actiniidae. The record is from RNAcentral.